UAGUCCACGCCCUAAACGAUGAAUGUUAGUCGUCGGGUAGCUAGUCUAUUCGGUGAUGCAGCUAACGCAUUAAACAUUCCGCCUGGGGAGUACGGUCGCAAGAUUAAAACUCAAAGGAAUAGACGGGGACCCGGCACAAGUGGUGGAGCAUGUGGUUUAAUUCGAAGAUACGCGAAGAACCUUACCUAGCCUUGACAUAUUUUAGAACACUUUAGAGAUAGAGUGGUGCCUUCGGGAGCUAAUAUACAGGUGCUGCACGGCUGUCGUCAGCUCGUGUCGUGAGAUGUUGGGUUAAGUCCCGCAACGAGCGCAACCCUCGUCACUAGUUACUAACGGUUCGGCCGAGGACUCUAGUGAGACUGCCUUCGCAAGGGAGGAGGAAGGGUGAGGGACGACGUCAAGUCAUCAUGGGCCCUUACGGGCUAGGGGCAACACACGUGCUACAAUGGGCCAGGGACAAUGGAG
Molecule: ribosomal RNA, 465 nt
Filed under: uncultured bacterium
Lineage: Bacteria
Description: bacterial SSU rRNA
Rfam family: Bacterial small subunit ribosomal RNA
Source: RNAcentral